RNAcentral lists this long non-coding RNA (5721 nucleotides) under Sus scrofa (pig). Its description in RNAcentral is "lncRNA (ENSSSCG00035053070.1)". The record is from RNAcentral. Lineage: Eukaryota; Metazoa; Chordata; Mammalia; Artiodactyla; Suidae.
CAGGUGUGGCCCUACAAAGGAAAAAAAAAAAAUGAUCUUCAGGGGGCGUAUAACACAGCGUGAGGUGAUAAGGAAGGCUUCCUGGUGGAGGUUGCAUUUAUUCUGAGGCCAAAGAUCAGUUGUAGGUGGCUGGCAGCAGGGAGUGGAGGAAUGCUACAGGCAAAGGGAACAGCACAGGUGAAGAGAUUAAGGUGGGAGAGUGUGGGGAAUCGAAGAACCUAAAUUCCUUAAGGCUGAGUGGAAACUUGAAGGCUUGGGGUUAAGUUUGGUGGAGAGGGCCUCCCUUUCUCAAGGGCCAACUUUAGGUUUACCCAUGACAGCCCAUGCCAUGGGCUUCCAGGCACCAGAACCUUACCUAACCCACCACCUGUAUCCUAUCACCCAUUCCUCACAUGAUCACCCCCACUUUCCAGGGGAGAAACAGGAGCUCCUAAAUGUAAAUAGAUUUCCCUGGGUCAUGUAGACGCCAAGUGGUGGAUGGCAGUCCAGACCGCCUGCUCCUCUCUUUUGUCAUCUAUAAGACGAGGACCUUGGCUUCAUAGAUGAGACAGAAGCACCUGGCUCCGUAACUGACACAUUACAGAGACACCUCUGCUAAUCGGUGGCCCCCCAAGUCCAGGCAGGUCACUCUGACCAUUCGGCACAGCCUGCUGGAAAAGGGCUGAGUCUGAGAGAAAAUACAGCUCAGAAGAGGCAGUGAAGGAGUUCCUGUGAUGGCUCGGUGGUAAUGAACCUGACUAGUGUCCAUGGGGAUGCGGGUUUGAUCCCUGGCCUUGCUCAGCGGGUUAAGAAUCUGAUGUUGAUGUGAGCUAUAGUGUCAGUUAGACGUGGCUCGGAUCCGGUGUUUCUGUGGCUGUGGUGUAGACCAGGGGCUAUAGCUCCAGUUUGACCCCUGGUCUGGGAACUUCCAUAUGACGCAGGUGCAGCCCUAAAAAGACCAAAAAAAAAAAAAAAAAAAAAAGUAUCCUAAAGAAAGAAGUAGGGGAGCUGUUCUAAACUCAGGCCUCCCAAGUAUAAGAUUCUCAACCUCCUCUCCUUUUGCAGCCUGGGGAAGGUCACUUAAUAGCAGGGACACUGAGCAGAAUUGUCAUCAGCCCUGGUGUCACCCCUGCAUGGCCUCAGCUGCUCCUGCGGUAGCUGUGUGUUGUUAUCCCCGUUUUAUAGACAGACAGGCAGAGCUGGAGAAGGUUAGCUGGCUUGUCCAAGGUCGUGGAGGUAUCAGCCUUGGAUCAGGCUUGAACCCUGGUCUCUGAUGGAUGACAGCUGCUUGCCCUCUAACAUAUAGGUGAUUAGAGCACAGUAUGAAGAGAGCUAUGAUUUGGCCUAAGACUGUGGCUCAGAAAGCCUGCGGAGGAGGGUCCUGGAACCUUCUUGAAGGAGGAUGAGGUGACCCUGGAUUGGAGUCCUGAAGAACAAGAAAGUGUUGUCCAGGAGGGGAGGAGAAGGAAAGGGGUUCCAGGGGGCAGGACCCGGUGGGGACGAAGGUUGGGAUGGGGCUGGGGUCUGUGGCUCUUCUAGAAAGUAAGGGUCUAGGGUGACAGUAGGAGCCGAGGGAGGCAGACCCUUCCCAACUGGACCUGAUUCUGUACAUCUGUAUCUUCCCCUCGGCACAUCCAUUGUCUCCCUCUAACCUAAGCCUGAGGAGAGAGCGGCCCCUGAAAAGUGCUUUCCUGUCUGAACCAGGUUUGUGGUGAAAGGACCCAGCUGGCUAGAGGCUCAGGGAGGUUCACGUAUCCCAUCUGGAUGGCCUCCAAAGAGGAGUCUUUAGAGGAGGGCGAGAGCGUGGCGGCCGCUGCUUGCCUCUGUUUCACCGCCCACCCUACUCUCUCUCUCUCACUUGUUUCUCGUCCAGCUGCUGCCCCCACACCUCAUCACUUACCCUGGGCUGACGGAGGAAGGCCCACCAUGCUGCCGUGGAGACCCCCGGUGCCUGGUGCUGACAAUGGAGAGCUGGACUCCAUGUGGCUUGAUGAUCGGGGGACAGAUAAGGGUCAUUAACACUUUUCUUAAUGACAGAACCCCUAAGCGGACCUGCUAGCCCCCGACAGGCAGAGCCAGGAGGAACCUCGGAGAUCUGGGCUUCAUCCUGUUUAUUUUAUUUAAAUGAGUUAAUAGAUGGGAGUGCUUGGAUGAGUGCCGAGCACAUAGCCAGUGUUGGACGAGCCUUUGCUAUUGCUGUUAUUAGUGCUGUCAUAUUUAUAGGUGGAGAGGGGACUACCCAGUUACACAGUGAGUGACAGACUGAACUGAGGCACGCUCAGGCCUGGGCUGUUUCCGAGGCAUCUUGCUGCGCUGAGGAGGCCUCUUCAGGGGCUCGCUUUCCACCCAGUGGCUGAUUUUUUUUUUUUUUUUUUUUUUUGGACCAUACUUGUGGCACCUGUAGCUCCGAUUCGAUGCCUAGCCUCAGAACCUCCAUAUGCUGCAGGUGUGGCCCUAAAAAAAAAAAAAAAGACAAGAAAUAAAAAAGGUCUCUUAGUCUGAUCUCAUCCCCCAACAGCAGUGUACAAUAGGUGUCAUCAUUUCAUGAAGGAGAAAACUGACUAUGUACUUAGGAGGCCUGCCCUCAGAAGAUGCUCAACACAUUUUAAUUUCCUCAGUCCUCCAGGCGGGUACACCGACUAACAGAGAUGCCUGCAUUGAAAUUUAUCCCCCACCCAGAAUGAGAAAUGAGAAAUGCUGACCAGGCGAGUGAGAGAAUCACUAGGCUCGGGGGACCUGCAUGGGGCCAGGGCUGGAUGGGAGGCUGGUGGGUGGCUAGCUGCUGCUGGGGUUGGGGGGGCAAUGAGAGUACCUUAGGGGGCAUCCAUCUGUCUUGUCCUUUGACAUUUGAGGUAAAUAAGUACCUGCUCCUCACUCUGCAAAGGAUCGGCACUUCCUGCUGCUGAGAAGAAGGUCCAAAUUGAAUCCAUUCUGGGAAAGAUGGGUGACGGGCCAGGGGCACUGGCCUCAGGCUGGAGAGGUGAGGCUGGAAGGGAAAAUUAAGGGACUCUUGCUUAGGGAGUAGCCACCAAGGCCUGCAGUGUUAGGCCCAGGAUCCUUUCGGAAAUUUGCUAAGGUCAGUUUUAGGGGAAGUAAAAGGCUGUUAGUUCUGUUCUACCAGGAUGCAGGUUACAGAAAGGCACAAUAUAGCACACUGGUUUAGGGCCCUGUCUCUGGAGCCAGGGUUCAAAUCUUAGCCCUGUGACCUGUGUGACCCUCAGCAACUUUUCAUAAUCUAUUUUGUUCCUCUGUUUCCUCACCUGUCAAAUGGGAGAAUGUUGCCAUUACAGGCCUCAUAGAGUUUAUAUACAGGAAGUGCUCAGAAUAGCACCUGGCACAUAGUAAGUCAUUGAUUAAUGUUGCUAUUAUUAUUGCUGUUAUUUAAUACCUAUGAGUCAUCGGUCUCUUAUUGGAUCCCCUUAGCUAAUUCUCCCACAGAGAGUAGUGGGCUUAGGUAUAAACCUUGAUGGUCUAACUUCAAAGGCUCUGAGCUUUCUCCUCGGUCAGGCUGACUCUCACAUUCUUUCAGUCUCCAUCUGAACUCUUUCUCUUGAUUGAAAUAUCGCCACUUCCUCGCACUGAAUGAGACUGUGGAGAGAUCUGUGAGAAGGUGAAUUUCUGGGCACCCAGGGCACUAAGGCAAAGCUAGAAGUCAUCUGCCCCAUCUCUGAGGCCAGCAUUCUUGUCUGGAUAAGAUGGCCUGGUGCACACAGCCUGCCGAGAGACUCCAUGGCUUAUCUCCUUUUUUUGGGGUUGGCAGCUGCAGGGCUGCAGAUAUCACAUCAUCUCCACGAGCCUUGUCUCCAUCUUUCUCUUCCACUUCAUGGUCUUAUGGCUGGCGGGGCAGCUCAAGGGGGCUCUGCCAUGGAGAACCACUCAUAGGUGGAGUUUUGCAGAGAAGGGGCCUCAGCUGUUGUCAUUCUUGGAGUCGCUUCUAUAAUACAAAAAUGGGGGGAAAGAAGCCAAACAGCAUUAUAAAAUGGGGUGUGUUUAAAGUGAGACUGUCAUCAUGCCAUUUUCCUAAUCCCACUGGAACACAUCUGGGGCUGUACAUAUUGCCUUUUGGAGCCUACACGGAACAUCUCAUGCAGCCCUUUGGGCCUGGAGGGGUGGUAGGCUCAGGUCCCCUCCUGACCCCUGUGAGACAAGUCAUCGUUUAGCCUGGCCUCUGCCCCCCGCGAGGCCUAGACUCAACUCCUUAGGUAGGCUGUGUCUCUGUUCCUGAGUAUGCCUGGUGCAGGUGUGCUUGACAAUCCAUCUGACAGAAAGAAAUCGACUUUACCUCCUUCUAGAGCCUCUGGCCUCUAUGCUUUGUCUUGCCAACUGUGUGGCCAGCUUUCCCACAUCUUGCUGCCUUCUUCUGUGCCUGGUUCAGGUUCAGGCUAAAGGUUGCAGUCUGAGGAACCCUCUGUGCGUUCUUGGGUUUGGAUGAGAGCUCUACUUAGGAGUACAGAGUACAGAGCUAUGCUUCUGGGAUAGGGUCGUGUCCUGCACACCAAGAGCCCAGGGUGUGCAGUGGCUCAAGCCCUGAGAGCAGAUGUGAGGAUGACCCAAGAGAGCCAGUGACUGGCCCAGAGCCUGGCACACAGCAGUGCUUCUGCAUGAAGGAAUCAGCGAGGAAAGUAGCCCUGGGCCCUGGCUUCUGGAUCCCCCUUGGGAUGUCCCCAAGCAUCUGUCCUUCCCUCAGUCACCACACUGGCCCAAAGUCACAAUUGUGCCUCCCCGCUUCCAUCCCACUCUGCUUUGAUUGUGAGCCUUAGUACAAGACUUGCAUCUCGGCUUAGCAUCUUCAGCACCUGGCACCGCAUCUGGCCUGCAGAGGGCGCUCCGUCAUAUUGACGGGAUGAAUGAAUGGCUGGUCCUACCUUUCAUUCCCCCAGGGCUGCAAGCUGGAGAAGCAAAACCAGGCACCGGAGCUCACUGUCCUAUCUCCAGCUUAGUGGUGCCCCUGCCGGUUGCUCGAGGUCCAUGAUGGGACUCCAGGCAGCAUGAGGAAAGUGUUAGGGCAAGAGCAAGUUGGGAGUCAUGUGGAGACCCGUCCCCACGCCUCCCAGACACAGCCCGCGGUAGCUGAGCGAGGUCUUUAGAAGGCAGAACAAAACUACACUGGCCUGGAAUAAUCAUUGUUUUCUUGCUCAACUUACUCUUUCUGUCCAGAAUUGGUUCAUCCCUUAAACGGCUAAUGAGGUUUCUCCUCGCUGGAGGAGGGGCAUAUGUUAAGAGGGGCCCACUCAAGGUUACAUGGGGCAAUAUAUUUCCUAAAGAGUCUAUCCUGAGGUCCCUCAUUUUACAGAAGAGGACUUUAUGUGAGUUAAGAAAUGUGUUCAAGGUCACAUGACUAAUCAGUAAUUAUACUACUUGCUAUCACUUACUGUGGAUUAGCCACUCACAGUAUUAUUACAGAGUUGUUGGUUAAAACAGCCUUAUGGUUUAGGUUUAAUUAUGCCCAUUUGACAGAAGUAGAAACUGAGGCUUAGAGAGGUUAAGUAACUUGCCCAAUGCUACCUUCCCUGUCCAGAUCUUGCAGACUCAGGGCCUGUGCUGCAGAGAUUCUUAGUAGAAUAUGUACACUGGAUUUGCCUCUGACACCUAUAAAAAUUCCUCAUGCCAGAGCCCCACUUCAGACCUGCCAAAUCAGAACUUCUGUGUAAGUUCUGCUCCUCAAGUGAUUCUGAUGUGUUUCCUGCUUGAGGAUCUCGGCAUAAGAAAUUCACCUUUAAUGGAAAAGAAAAAAAGAAAAAA